This 675-nucleotide ribosomal RNA is filed under the name uncultured Bacteroidota bacterium. RNAcentral's name for it is "bacterial SSU rRNA". It matches the Rfam family "Bacterial small subunit ribosomal RNA", at positions 377 to 1053 of the family's 1533-position model. The record is from RNAcentral. Lineage: Bacteria; Pseudomonadati; Bacteroidota.
GGAAGCCUGAACCAGCCAUGCCGCGUGCAGGAAGACGGCCCUACGGGUUGUAAACUGCUUUAUACGGGAAUAAACCCCGGUUCGUGAACCGGGCUGAAUGUACUGUAAGAAUAAGGAUCGGCUAACUCCGUGCCAGCAGCCGCGGUAAUACGGAGGAUCCAAGCGUUAUCCGGAUUUAUUGGGUUUAAAGGGUGCGUAGGCGGCCUGUUAAGUCAGGGGUGAAAGACGGUAGCUUAACUAUCGCAGUGCCCUUGAUACUGAUGGGCUUGAAUAUACUUGAGGUAGGCGGAAUGUGACAAGUAGCGGUGAAAUGCAUAGAUAUGUCACAGAACACCAAUUGCGAAGGCAGCUUACUAAGGUAUGAUUGACGCUGAGGCACGAAAGCGUGGGGAUCAAACAGGAUUAGAUACCCUGGUAGUCCACGCCCUAAACGAUGAACACUCGAUGUUGGCGAUAUACGGUCAGCGUCAAAGCGAAAGCGUUAAGUGUUCCACCUGGGGAGUACGCCCGCAAGGGUGAAACUCAAAGGAAUUGACGGGGGCCCGCACAAGCGGAGGAGCAUGUGGUUUAAUUCGAUGAUACGCGAGGAACCUUACCCGGGCUUGAAAGUUAGUGAAUGUGGCACGAGACGCCAUCAGUCCUUCGGGACACGAAACUAGGUGCUGCAUGGCUGUC